RNAcentral lists this ribosomal RNA (1170 nucleotides) under uncultured Bacteroides sp. RNAcentral's name for it is "bacterial SSU rRNA". It matches the Rfam family "Bacterial small subunit ribosomal RNA", at positions 10 to 1176 of the family's 1533-position model. Lineage: Bacteria; Pseudomonadati; Bacteroidota; Bacteroidia; Bacteroidales; Bacteroidaceae. The record is from RNAcentral.
AGUUUGAUCCUGGCUCAGGAUGAACGCUAGCUACAGGCUUAACACAUGCAAGUCGAGGGGCAGCAUGAACUUAGCUUGCUAAGUUUGAUGGCGACCGGCGCACGGGUGAGUAACACGUAUCCAACCUGCCGAUGACUCGGGGAUAGCCUUUCGAAAGAAAGAUUAAUACCCGAUGGCAUAGUUCUUCCGCAUGGUGGAACUAUUAAGGAAUUUCGGUCAUCGAUGGGGAUGCGUUCCAUUAGGUUGUUGGCGGGGUAACGGCCCACCAAGCCUUCGACGGAUAGGGGUUCUGAGAGGAAGGUCCCCCACAUUGGAACUGAGACACGGUCCAAACUCCUACGGGAGGCAGCAGUGAGGAAUAUUGGUCAAUGGACGAGAGUCUGAACCAGCCAAGUAGCGUGAAGGAUGACUGCCCUAUGGGUUGUAAACUUCUUUUAUACGGGAAUAAAGUGAGGCACGUGUGCCUUUUUGUAUGUACCGUAUGAAUAAGGAUCGGCUAACUCCGUGCCAGCAGCCGCGGUAAUACGGAGGAUCCGAGCGUUAUCCGGAUUUAUUGGGUUUAAAGGGAGCGUAGGCGGACGCUUAAGUCAGUUGUGAAAGUUUGCGGCUCAACCGUAAAAUUGCAGUUGAUACUGGGUGUCUUGAGUACAGUAGAGGCAGGCGGAAUUCGUGGUGUAGCGGUGAAAUGCUUAGAUAUCACGAAGAACUCCGAUUGCGAAGGCAGCCUGCUGGACUGUAACUGACGCUGAUGCUCGAAAGUGUGGGUAUCAAACAGGAUUAGAUACCCUGGUAGUCCACACAGUAAACGAUGAAUACUCGCUGUUUGCGAUAUACAGUAAGCGGCCAAGCGAAAGCGUUAAGUAUUCCACCUGGGGAGUACGCCGGCAACGGUGAAACUCAAAGGAAUUGACGGGGGCCCGCACAAGCGGAGGAACAUGUGGUUUAAUUCGAUGAUACGCGAGGAACCUUGCCCGGGCUUGAAUUGCAACUGAAUGAUGUGGAGACAUGUCAGCCGCAAGGCAGUUGUGAAGGUGCUGCAUGGUUGUCGUCAGCUCGUGCCGUGAGGUGUCGGCUUAAGUGCCAUARCGAGCGCAACCCUUAUCGAUAGUUACCAUCAGGUGAUGCUGGGGACUCUGUCGAGACUGCCGUCGUAAGAUGUGAGGAAGGUGG